CCGAGUGGCGAACGGGUGAGGAACGCGUGGACAACCUACCCCGGCGUGGGGGAUACCCGCCAGAAAUGGCGGCUAAUACCGCGUACGGUUCUCCGGCGACGGGCUGGGGAAAGAAAGCAGUGAUGCGCGCUGGGAGGGGUCUGCGGCCGAUUAGCUUGUUGGCGGGGUAACGGCCCACCAAGGCUUUGAUCGGUAGCCGGCCUGAGAGGGCGCACGGCCACACUGGAACUGAAACACGGUCCAG
RNAcentral lists this ribosomal RNA (244 nucleotides) under uncultured bacterium. RNAcentral's name for it is "partial 16S ribosomal RNA". It matches the Rfam family "Bacterial small subunit ribosomal RNA", at positions 91 to 334 of the family's 1533-position model. The record is from RNAcentral.